CGUUAAGUAGACCGCCUGGGGAGUACGGCCGCAAGGUUAAAACUCAAAUGAAUUGACGGGGGCCCGCACAAGCGGUGGAGCAUGUGGUUUAAUUCGAUGCAACGCGAAGAACCUUACCUGGUCUUGACAUCCACAGAAGAAUCCAGAGAUGGAUUUGUGCCUUCGGGAACUGUGAGACAGGUGCUGCAUGGCUGUCGUCAGCUCGUGUUGUGAAAUGUUGGGUUAAGUCCCGCAACGAGCGCAACCCUUAUCCUUUGUUGCCAGCGGUUAGGCCGGGAACUCAAAGGAGACUGCCAGUGAUAAACUGGAGGAAGGUGGGGAUGACGUCAAGUCAUCAUGGCCCUUACGACCAGGGCUACACACGUGCUACAAUGGCGCAUACAAAGAGAAGCGACCUCGCGAGAGCAAGCGGACCUCAUAAAGUGCGUCGUAGUCCGGAUUGGAGUCUGCAACUCGACUCCAUGAAGUCGGAAUCGCUAGUAAUCGUGGAUCAGAAUGCCACGGUGAAUACGUUCCCGGGCCUUGUACACACCGCCCGUCACACCAUGGGAGUGGGUUGCAAAAGAAGUAGGUAGCUUAACCUUCGGGAGGGCGCUUACCACUUUGUGAUUCAUGACUGGGGUGAAGUCGUAACAAGGUAACCGUAGGGGAACCUGCGGUUGGA
Molecule: ribosomal RNA, 664 nt
Filed under: Salmonella enterica
Lineage: Bacteria; Pseudomonadati; Pseudomonadota; Gammaproteobacteria; Enterobacterales; Enterobacteriaceae
Also listed under: 6 other names
Description: bacterial SSU rRNA
Rfam family: Bacterial small subunit ribosomal RNA
Source: RNAcentral